AACGAACGCUGGCGGCAGGCCUAACACAUGCAAGUCGAGCGCCCCGCAAGGGGAGCGGCGGACGGGUGAGUAACGCGUGGGAACGUACCCUUUGCUACGGAAUAGCCUCGGGAAACUGGGAGUAAUACCGUAUGUGUCCUUCGGGAGAAAGAUUUAUCGGCAUGGGAUCGGCCCGCGUUGGAUUAGGUAGUUGGUGGGGUAAUGGCCUACCAAGCCGACGAUCCAUAGCUGGUUUGAGAGGAUGAUCAGCCACACUGGGACUGAGACACGGCCCAGACUCCUACGGGAGGCAGCAGUGGGGAAUCUUAGACAAUGGGCGCAAGCCUGAUCUAGCCAUGCCGCGUGAGCGAUGAAGGCCUUAGGGUUGUAAAGCUCUUUCAGGGGGGAAGAUAAUGACUGUACCCCCAGAAGAAGCCCCGGCUAACUCCGUG
RNAcentral lists this ribosomal RNA (431 nucleotides) under uncultured bacterium. Its description in RNAcentral is "partial 16S ribosomal RNA". It matches the Rfam family "Bacterial small subunit ribosomal RNA", at positions 29 to 507 of the family's 1533-position model. The record is from RNAcentral.